Humulus lupulus (European hop) is the source of this 2597-nucleotide long non-coding RNA. RefSeq lists it as uncharacterized. The transcript has 2 exons. NCBI's taxonomy places the organism in Eukaryota, Viridiplantae, Streptophyta, Magnoliopsida, Rosales, Cannabaceae. The record is from RefSeq and is a predicted model, not a curated record.
UCUCACUCCUUCUAACCCUCACUCUCUGCUUGUUGCUGCUUGCAGGUACAGUGGCAUAGUGAAUAAUUGGGUCAAUGGUUGACGUGGCUCUCAAGUUGUGGGAGUGAUUGCUGCUAAUUUAAGAAGUGGUUUUCAGCUUUGAGGUAAAGUGUCUUCAGUCUGUAUUUUUUGUUUUACUGAUAUUACUAUACCUUUCUAAAUCUAAUUAAUAUUACAGAGAGAAGAGAGUUAUGUAUAUAACGUAUGCAAAUAUAUAUGACAGAUUCUUAGUUUAGCUUUAGCAUGGAUUGAAUUUAUAUAUAUUUUGGUGAGUAACUUUUCAUCUUCUUUUUAUUUAUGGAGGAAGAAAUGAUUUUAUUUCUCAUGAUCACAUAAUAGAAAUUUGAUUCUGAAGACUUGCCUUUUAUCUGAACAUCACUCACAACUUUUCUAAAGAUCCCUGGCACAAUAUUUGCAAGCCGGACUACUUCAUUGAUAACCUGUCCAAUAUUAUGUAUGUAUAUAUACGUGCAGAUGAAUGUAGCCCAGAAAUGAAGCUAUGAAUUACCCAGAAUCACUGGUUGCUUUAAAUAAAAGUAAUAAAGUAAUAUAUAAUGUUACUCUACUUUGUCUGAGAUAAUUGUUGGAUUCUCUUAAAUUUAUUACUCUACUUUGUUUUAUUUUGUUGAACCUUUGAUCUCUUUCAUUAUCUAAAUCAAGUCUCUAGUUAUGAUUAUGUUUGAUGGUUUUUAUUCUUUGUUUCAAUGCUCUAUUUGACUAGGCGUUUUGGAUUCUUAAAUGCAAACUGCAAUUAAAUUAUUAUGAAAAGAUGCAUUUAUCCAAAUCAAGUCUCUAGUCAUGUUACAAUUGGUGACCUCUUUCUAAGUCUCUAGUACCUACCAAGCUAUGAAAAAAGGCUCAAAAUUAAUGAGUUUGGACUAGUACUGUCAAUCCAAUAUUUCUAUAGAGGAUUUUGUUAGUUGACAACUAAUAGGGCUAAGAUUUUAUCAAGCAAAUCAGACAUAUAUAGCUAGUUCCAGAUAUUACAUUGGCAGUAUGAACACAUUAGCUUAUGUUUAAUUAAGCUAUUUAUGACUUAGAAACUAGAUAACAUUAAAUGUGUCUUUCAUGUUUUGAUAAAUAUUAGUAAAUCGUUUGUAUAGUUUACUUUGUUAGACUUUUGUUAUUAAAAUUGUAUUCCCUGCAUUGCAUACAUUCAAUAGAGUUUAUUUCCAAACUUUAAUGGUAAUGCUAACUCUCUUCUUUUAUGAUGAAAUUAUGUAAAAGUGCAUGUAUGCUGAAGUUACAUAUGGAUUCUAAAAAGGAGCCAUAUAGCUAGCAAUAUUCUAGUGUUCUGUGUGAGUGUGAAUCUUUUUUACAUUACUUAUCUUUGAUGAUAAAAAGGAGAUCUCCCUUUUGAAGUCUUUGUAUCAUUUAUUGCUCUUUACAUUUUUGAAAAAUGGUUAUUACUGAAGAAAAACUUUUAUAUAUUGUUGCGGUGUUUGAUAUGAAUGUGAGAAGUCAAAUUGAGUGAAUGAGUACCUUUUCUAUAUCUAUCAUUUUUUUUUUAUAAAAAAUUGCAUCUAUCUUUAAGUUAAGACAUGAUGCAUGACAGGUUUUGACUUUCAAAUACUUCAUUUUGAAUACGGAAGACAAGUUCAUUAAUUAUUAGUAUUAUAACUUUAUUUUGAUACAUUUCCAAAUAGAAAAACGUGAAGAGUACUAAUUAAAAAAAUCAAUUUUGCUUAUAAAACCAUAUACACUUACAUAUUAAAACACAUUCUCUGUUAAACGUGGGUUUGUCAUACCUAUUUUUUGUUCUUCUUUUCAUUGAAAAUUAAAGCUUUUAUUUGGGUUGGUUUGUUGAUAUUGAUUCUGGGUUGUAUCAGAAAAAUUGUAAAAAUAUAUAUAAUAGCAUUGAUAUGUAUAAUUUGUAUGGUUUUGUUUUAGUAUUUCUUUCCAUUUGUUUAUCUAGUUAAGGGAAAAUGAAAGUUGGGAGAUGUAAUAAUCAUCAUUAUUAAUGAUAAAUUUCGGUCAAUACAUUAUAUUUGGUGGCUGUUUUACUGAUAUUCUACUGAUCUAUAUGUUUAUAACUUUAAUAAAGAUGAAUAAUAUAUAAAAUGCAUAUAAAUUAAGUUGGCUUAUAAAUUGUAUCCAUCCUCUACUGUCAUCAAAUGUUCCCCCCCGCCCCCACUGUAGAGGAGGCAUGUUGUGUUGCUAUGAUCAAACAAAGUGUAAAGUGAGGAAAGGCUUUCAGGGGGUCAAGAGAAGUCUCUACCUCAGAUAUACUGUGGAAUGGAUUGAUUGGACUGAUUCUAUUUUGCCUGUAAAGAUCUAUAUUUUUUAUGUUAAUGAUACUUGGAAUGGUUUGAACUCUGAACAUCAUUGUCAAGUAAGUUAAUAUUACCUCCUUUCUAACUAUCUGAAUUUUAUGCACACUGGAUUUCUGAAAUUAUUUUAACGUUUCUAUGAGAAGGAAUGUGAAAGUGAAUCUAAAUUAGUAGUGGAUUCUUCUACGUUGCAAUCUGUUUCCACGAAAAGUUACUAGGUAUUUAUGUUGAAACAGAAUGAAAUCAUCAAGUAAUAUAAUUUUCCUUGUGGUCUUUCUGAUGCCAUAA